RNAcentral lists this ribosomal RNA (681 nucleotides) under uncultured bacterium. Its description in RNAcentral is "bacterial SSU rRNA". It matches the Rfam family "Bacterial small subunit ribosomal RNA", at positions 116 to 793 of the family's 1533-position model. The record is from RNAcentral.
UAUCGGAACGUGCCCAGUCGUGGGGGAUAACGUAGUGAAAAUUACGCUAAUACCGCAUACGAUCUAAGGAUGAAAGCGGGGGAUCGCAAGACCUCGCGCGAUUGGAGCGGCCGAUAUCAGAUUAGGUAGUUGGUGAGGUAAAGGCUCACCAAGCCAACGAUCUGUAGCUGGUCUGAGAGGACGACCAGCCACACUGGAACUGAGACACGGUCCAGACUCCUACGGGAGGCAGCAGUGGGGAAUUUUGGACAAUGGACGCAAGUCUGAUCCAGCCAUUCCGCGUGCAGGACGAAGGCCUUCGGGUUGUAAACUGCUUUUGUACAGAACGAAAAGGUCUCUAUUAAUACUAGGGGCUCAUGACGGUACUGUAAGAAUAAGCACCGGCUAACUACGUGCCAGCAGCCGCGGUAAUACGUAGGGUGCAAGCGUUAAUCGGAAUUACUGGGCGUAAAGCGUGCGCAGGCGGUUAUAUAAGACAGAUGUGAAAUCCCCGGGCUCAACCUGGGAACUGCAUUUGUGACUGUAUAGCUGGAGUGCGGCAGAGGGGGAUGGAAUUCCGCGUGUAGCAGUGAAAUGCGUAGAUAUGCGGAGGAACACCGAUGGCGAAGGCAAUCCCCUGGGCCUGCACUGACGCUCAUGCACGAAAGCGUGGGGAGCAAACAGGAUUAGAUACCCUGGUAG